Molecule: long non-coding RNA, 547 nt
Organism: Ornithorhynchus anatinus (platypus)
Lineage: Eukaryota; Metazoa; Chordata; Mammalia; Monotremata; Ornithorhynchidae
Exons: 2
Source: RefSeq, a predicted model, not a curated record
CUGAGCCACGCUGCUUCUCUAAUACAGUGCUCUGCAUCCAGUUUAGAGUCUCCGGCCACUGGGAAAGGAUAUAAAGAUACUUGCCCUGCUGCACAUUUGACAAGUUCCACACUUCGUCAUUGAGGAAAGAGAUGGAGGCUCCCUUGAGGAACAGGCAGUUGCUGUCUGGAGGGUCCAACUUGAAUACAGGGCAAACAGAUUAACCGAAUGAUGCUCAGAUGUUCACAGAAUGGCUCUUACUUCAGAUUGUCAGCUCCUCCUGGGUCUAGAGUUCCCCGUGGGCUGGGAACCCCCCCUCCCCCCCAACUCUGUAUUGUUCUUUUCUAAGCUAUUUGUACAAUGCUCUGCACACAGUAAGCGCUCAAAUUCCAGAUUCGUUUUUUUUUAAAGACACCCAAUGACUGCUACUAAACCAAAUCCCUUUAAAUGUAGUGAUUUUGAAUAAUGAAUUGCUGUGACUGGUGUAGUACAAAUCAGUGGCAAAAGCUGAAUCAUUCAAAAUGCACUUUUCAACAGAAUAAACUCUUUUCUAUGGUUAAAGACAAAA